RNAcentral lists this ribosomal RNA (500 nucleotides) under uncultured bacterium. RNAcentral describes it as "partial 16S ribosomal RNA". It matches the Rfam family "Bacterial small subunit ribosomal RNA", at positions 30 to 523 of the family's 1533-position model. The record is from RNAcentral.
AUUGAACGCUGGCGGCAGGCCUAACACAUGCAAGUCGAGCGGAUGACGGGAGCUUGCUCCUUGAUUCAGCGGCGGACGGGGGAGUAAUGCCUAGGAAUCUGCCUGGUAGUGGGGGACAACGUUUCGAAAGGAACGCUAAUACCGCAUACGUCCUACGGGAGAAAGCAGGGGACCUUCGGGACUUGCGCUAGCAGAUGAGCCUAGGUCGGAUUAGCUAGUAGGUGAGGUAAUGGCUCAGCUAGGCGACGAUACGUAACGGGUCUGAGAGGAUGGUAAGGCAAACUGGAACUGAAACAAGGUACAGACUCCUACGGGAGGCAGCAGUGGGGAAUAUUGGACAAUGGGCGAAAGCCUGAUCCAGCCAUGCCGCGUGUGUGAAGAAGGUCGUCGGAUUGUAAAGCACUUUAAGUUGGGAGGAAGGGCAGUAAGUUAAUACCUUGCUGUUUUGACGUUACCGACAGAAUAAGCACCGGCUAACUCUGUGCCACCAGCCGCGGUAA